CGGAUGCGUUCCAGGGACCGUGGCUGUCCCGAGGCUCCAGCUCGUCUGGAGGUGCUGCGUGCGGAGACAGAGGCCCUCGGACCGCGCCGCCUGGCGGUCCCUAUUGUGAGGACCUCCGUUUCCGAGUUCUGGUGGUGGACGGUCCAGGUCUGGAAGUCACGCCUUCCAGAGGCUCACGGAAUGAACGGCCACAGUAAAGAGAGCCCAAAUCUCAACCGCAGGGCAGCGGGUGCAUUUCUCACUGCAGCCUGUCUCCGGCUUGGCAGGUGUGUUCAGUUCAACCAUAGCCAGGUUCCUAGGGCGAUGCCAUUUCAUAUCAGGGCUUUUUCCAAAGCAUCGCCGCGAAAACGUCUCCACCAUCGUUCAUUCUUUUCUCAAAUAUGUGUGAACCUCUGGUCCAAACAAGGCCCAAGUUCACAGACCAAAGGCUUAAGCCCUUGGUUAAGUGCUCAGGACGAAGUCAAAGGCGUGGAUGCAGUCAAUGCCAGCAGAUUAGAAGAACCCGCGGCUGCUGACAGCUGGAACACCUGUGCACACCUAGGAAUGCAUAUGCACGGUGCUGGAUUAGGCCAGGGUCGCAGCGCGGAGUGACGCCCAGCACUGAGACGAGAUCUGGUUCUGGACUCCUACUGAAGUUCACAUGCUUCUCAUCUUCUGUCAUGGGUGAAGUAUGUUUUCUUUAUUGUGAGUCUGGUAAUCAGCAAGGGAGCCUUGGGGCAGCUAAUGCUUCUAGCCUGUGCUUUGUGUAAUAUGUCAGGAGCUUCAUGUGGGCAAACUAAUCAGUGACAAUAACCCAAGGAGCUGGGCACGGUGGUGCUAGCCUGUAAUCUCAGCGGCUUGUAGGAGGCCGAGGCUGGGGG
RNAcentral lists this long non-coding RNA (860 nucleotides) under Marmota monax (woodchuck). The record is from RNAcentral. Lineage: Eukaryota; Metazoa; Chordata; Mammalia; Rodentia; Sciuridae.